Molecule: ribosomal RNA, 2924 nt
Filed under: Escherichia coli 3.2608
Lineage: Bacteria; Pseudomonadati; Pseudomonadota; Gammaproteobacteria; Enterobacterales; Enterobacteriaceae
Description: bacterial LSU rRNA
Rfam family: Bacterial large subunit ribosomal RNA
Source: RNAcentral
GAAACAUCUUCGGGUUGUGAGGUUAAGCGACUAAGCGUACACGGUGGAUGCCCUGGCAGUCAGAGGCGAUGAAGGACGUGCUAAUCUGCGAUAAGCGUCGGUAAGGUGAUAUGAACCGUUAUAACCGGCGAUUUCCGAAUGGGGAAACCCAGUGUGAUUCGUCACACUAUCAUUAACUGAAUCCAUAGGUUAAUGAGGCGAACCGGGGGAACUGAAACAUCUAAGUACCCCGAGGAAAAGAAAUCAACCGAGAUUCCCCCAGUAGCGGCGAGCGAACGGGGAGCAGCCCAGAGCCUGAAUCAGUGUGUGUGUUAGUGGAAGCGUCUGGAAAGGCGCGCGAUACAGGGUGACAGCCCCGUACACAAAAAUGCACAUGCUGUGAGCUCGAUGAGUAGGGCGGGACACGUGGUAUCCUGUCUGAAUAUGGGGGGACCAUCCUCCAAGGCUAAAUACUCCUGACUGACCGAUAGUGAACCAGUACCGUGAGGGAAAGGCGAAAAGAACCCCGGCGAGGGGAGUGAAAAAGAACCUGAAACCGUGUACGUACAAGCAGUGGGAGCACGCUUAGGCGUGUGACUGCGUACCUUUUGUAUAAUGGGUCAGCGACUUAUAUUCUGUAGCAAGGUUAACCGAAUAGGGGAGCCGAAGGGAAACCGAGUCUUAACUGGGCGUUAAGUUGCAGGGUAUAGACCCGAAACCCGGUGAUCUAGCCAUGGGCAGGUUGAAGGUUGGGUAACACUAACUGGAGGACCGAACCGACUAAUGUUGAAAAAUUAGCGGAUGACUUGUGGCUGGGGGUGAAAGGCCAAUCAAACCGGGAGAUAGCUGGUUCUCCCCGAAAGCUAUUUAGGUAGCGCCUCGUGAAUUCAUCUCCGGGGGUAGAGCACUGUUUCGGCAAGGGGGUCAUCCCGACUUACCAACCCGAUGCAAACUGCGAAUACCGGAGAAUGUUAUCACGGGAGACACACGGCGGGUGCUAACGUCCGUCGUGAAGAGGGAAACAACCCAGACCGCCAGCUAAGGUCCCAAAGUCAUGGUUAAGUGGGAAACGAUGUGGGAAGGCCCAGACAGCCAGGAUGUUGGCUUAGAAGCAGCCAUCAUUUAAAGAAAGCGUAAUAGCUCACUGGUCGAGUCGGCCUGCGCGGAAGAUGUAACGGGGCUAAACCAUGCACCGAAGCUGCGGCAGCGACGCUGAUGCGUUGUUGGGUAGGGGAGCGUUCUGUAAGCCUGUGAAGGUGUGCUGUGAGGCAUGCUGGAGGUAUCAGAAGUGCGAAUGCUGACAUAAGUAACGAUAAAGCGGGUGAAAAGCCCGCUCGCCGGAAGACCAAGGGUUCCUGUCCAACGUUAAUCGGGGCAGGGUGAGUCGACCCCUAAGGCGAGGCCGAAAGGCGUAGUCGAUGGGAAACAGGUUAAUAUUCCUGUACUUGGUGUUACUGCGAAGGGGGGACGGAGAAGGCUAUGUUGGCCGGGCGACGGUUGUCCCGGUUUAAGCGUGUAGGCUGGUUUUCCAGGCAAAUCCGGAAAAUCAAGGCUGAGGCGUGAUGACGAGGCACUACGGUGCUGAAGCAACAAAUGCCCUGCUUCCAGGAAAAGCCUCUAAGCAUCAGGUAACAUCAAAUCGUACCCCAAACCGACACAGGUGGUCAGGUAGAGAAUACCAAGGCGCUUGAGAGAACUCGGGUGAAGGAACUAGGCAAAAUGGUGCCGUAACUUCGGGAGAAGGCACGCUGAUAUGUAGGUGAAGCGACUUGCUCGUGGAGCUGAAAUCAGUCGAAGAUACCAGCUGGCUGCAACUGUUUAUUAAAAACACAGCACUGUGCAAACACGAAAGUGGACGUAUACGGUGUGACGCCUGCCCGGUGCCGGAAGGUUAAUUGAUGGGGUCAGCGCAAGCGAAGCUCUUGAUCGAAGCCCCGGUAAACGGCGGCCGUAACUAUAACGGUCCUAAGGUAGCGAAAUUCCUUGUCGGGUAAGUUCCGACCUGCACGAAUGGCGUAAUGAUGGCCAGGCUGUCUCCACCCGAGACUCAGUGAAAUUGAACUCGCUGUGAAGAUGCAGUGUACCCGCGGCAAGACGGAAAGACCCCGUGAACCUUUACUAUAGCUUGACACUGAACAUUGAGCCUUGAUGUGUAGGAUAGGUGGGAGGCUUUGAAGUGUGGACGCCAGUCUGCAUGGAGCCGACCUUGAAAUACCACCCUUUAAUGUUUGAUGUUCUAACGUUGACCCGUAAUCCGGGUUGCGGACAGUGUCUGGUGGGUAGUUUGACUGGGGCGGUCUCCUCCUAAAGAGUAACGGAGGAGCACGAAGGUUGGCUAAUCCUGGUCGGACAUCAGGAGGUUAGUGCAAUGGCAUAAGCCAGCUUGACUGCGAGCGUGACGGCGCGAGCAGGUGCGAAAGCAGGUCAUAGUGAUCCGGUGGUUCUGAAUGGAAGGGCCAUCGCUCAACGGAUAAAAGGUACUCCGGGGAUAACAGGCUGAUACCGCCCAAGAGUUCAUAUCGACGGCGGUGUUUGGCACCUCGAUGUCGGCUCAUCACAUCCUGGGGCUGAAGUAGGUCCCAAGGGUAUGGCUGUUCGCCAUUUAAAGUGGUACGCGAGCUGGGUUUAGAACGUCGUGAGACAGUUCGGUCCCUAUCUGCCGUGGGCGCUGGAGAACUGAGGGGGGCUGCUCCUAGUACGAGAGGACCGGAGUGGACGCAUCACUGGUGUUCGGGUUGUCAUGCCAAUGGCACUGCCCGGUAGCUAAAUGCGGAAGAGAUAAGUGCUGAAAGCAUCUAAGCACGAAACUUGCCCCGAGAUGAGUUCUCCCUGACUCCUUGAGAGUCCUGAAGGAACGUUGAAGACGACGACGUUGAUAGGCCGGGUGUGUAAGCGCAGCGAUGCGUUGAGCUAACCGGUACUAAUGAACCGUGAGGCUUAACCUU